RNAcentral lists this transfer RNA (64 nucleotides) under Tristoma integrum. RNAcentral describes it as "tRNA-Ser". The record is from RNAcentral. Lineage: Eukaryota; Metazoa; Platyhelminthes; Monogenea; Capsalidea; Capsalidae.
GCGAAGUAGGGUUUUUCUCAUGACUAAUUUGAAAUUAGUUAGAUUGUGUUUCACAAGCUUUGCU